This 255-nucleotide ribosomal RNA is filed under the name uncultured bacterium. Its description in RNAcentral is "partial 16S ribosomal RNA". It matches the Rfam family "Bacterial small subunit ribosomal RNA", at positions 524 to 776 of the family's 1533-position model. The record is from RNAcentral.
UACGUAGGGUGCAAGCGUUGUCCGGAAUUAUUGGGCGUAAAGAGCUCGUAGGCGGUUUGUCGCGUCUGCUGUGAAAACCCGAGGCUCAACCUCGGGCCUGCAGUGGGUACGGGGCAGACUAGAGUGCGGUAGGGGAGAUUGGAAUUCCUGGUGUAGCGGUGGAAUGCGCAGAUAAUCAGGAGGAACACCAAUGGCGAAGGCAGAUCUCUGGGCCGUAACUGACGCUGAGGAGCGAAAGCAUGGGGAGCGAACAGG